Molecule: ribosomal RNA, 465 nt
Filed under: uncultured bacterium
Lineage: Bacteria
Description: bacterial SSU rRNA
Rfam family: Bacterial small subunit ribosomal RNA
Source: RNAcentral
GACGAACGCUGGCGGCGUGCUUAACACAUGCAAGUCGAACGCUGAAGCACCAGCUUGCUGGUGUGGAUGAGUGGCGAACGGGUGAGUAAUACGUGAGUAACCUGCCCUUGACUCUGGGAUAAGCCCGGGAAACUGGGUCUAAUACUGGAUGCUACAUGUCACCGCAUGGUGGUGUGUGGAAAGGGUUUACUGGUCUUGGAUGGGCUCACGGCCUAUCAGCUUGUUGGUGAGGUAAUGGCUCACCAAGGCGACGACGGGUAGCCGGCCUGAGAGGGUGACCGGCCACACUGGGACUGAGACACGGCCCAGACUCCUACGGGAGGCAGCAGUGGGGAAUAUUGCACAAUGGGCGAAAGCCUGAUGCAGCGACGCCGCGUGAGGGAUGACGGCCUUCGGGUUUGUAAACCUCUUUCAGCAGGGAAGAAGCCACAAGUGACGGUACCUGCAGAAGAAGCGCCGGCUAAC